This 295-nucleotide unclassified non-coding RNA is filed under the name Chytridiomycota sp. Its description in RNAcentral is "partial contains small subunit ribosomal RNA, internal transcribed spacer 1, and 5.8S ribosomal RNA". The stretch from base 1 to 47 matches the Rfam family "Eukaryotic small subunit ribosomal RNA", at positions 1785 to 1831 of the family's 1831-position model. The record is from RNAcentral. Lineage: Eukaryota; Fungi; Chytridiomycota.
AAAGUCGUAACAAGGUAACCGUAGGUGAACCUGCGGUUGGAUCAUUUACGAUCUGCACCCUGACAAAGGGUCGAUCCACAACUGUGCACUUAUAACGUCUUUGUCGGCAGGACGAGAUCGAUAUCUCCUAAUUAUUGGAGAUCCGAUGAUAGUCCGCGUCGGAUGCCUCGAGAUUCGUCUCCUGGCUACGGCGUAUGCCGUCUGUGAAACAAACAUCUUACACUUUUGACUGAUCAUAACAUCACUUCUGUGAUAGAAUCCAAAACAACUUUCGACAAUGGAUCUCUUGGCUCUC